This 268-nucleotide long non-coding RNA is filed under the name Hordeum vulgare. Its description in RNAcentral is "long non-coding RNA (HVUL_LNC014122)". Lineage: Eukaryota; Viridiplantae; Streptophyta; Magnoliopsida; Poales; Poaceae. The record is from RNAcentral.
AUGAGCAGCUGCAGUGAGGCGGAGAUGAAAAGAGGCUUCGGAGUUUUUGCAGUGGACCUGAACUCCGGAGAGGGUCUGCUGUUUGGUAGGGCGUUGAGUUACUGCGCCUGCCUAGUUUGUUUCUUGUGAAAUGUGAUGAAGAUGGACCGUUUUAAAUUUGUUCAUGUUUCCAGUUUGCUGUGUUAUCUUUGUUUGCUUGGUGGUUUUGAACCUCAAGACUUGCUUUUGCUUUGAUAAUAAAGCAGCAUCGUGCAUUUGAUGCUGUGGU